GCGAAAGUGGCGGAAUUGGUAGACGCACUGGAUUUAGGUUCCAGCGCCGCGAGGCGUGAGAGUUCGAGUCUCUCCUUUCGCA
Transfer RNA from Vogesella sp. EB, 82 nucleotides. It matches the Rfam family "tRNA". Rfam says of the family: Transfer RNA (tRNA) molecules are approximately 80 nucleotides in length. Lineage: Bacteria; Pseudomonadati; Pseudomonadota; Betaproteobacteria; Neisseriales; Chromobacteriaceae. The record is from Rfam.